RNAcentral lists this ribosomal RNA (492 nucleotides) under uncultured bacterium. RNAcentral's name for it is "partial 16S ribosomal RNA". It matches the Rfam family "Bacterial small subunit ribosomal RNA", at positions 29 to 507 of the family's 1533-position model. The record is from RNAcentral.
AGUGAACGCUGGCGGUAGGCCUAACACAUGCAAGUCGAACGGCAGCACAGUAAGAGCUUGCUCUUACGGGUGGCGAGUGGCGGACGGGUGAGGAAUACAUCGGAAUCUACUUUUUCGUGGGGGAUAACGUAGGGAAACUUACGCUAAUACCGCAUACGACCUACGGGUGAAAGCAGGGGAUCUUCGGACCUUGCGCGAGUGAAUGAGCCGAUGUCGGAUUAGCUAGUUGGCGGGGUAAAGGCCCACCAAGGCGACGAUCCGUAGCUGGUCUCAGAGGAUGAUCAGCCACACUGGAACUGAGACACGGUCCAGACUCCUACGGGAGGCAGCAGUGGGGAAUAUUGGACAAUGGGCGCAAGCCUGAUCCAGCCAUACCGCGUGGGUGAAGAAGGCCUUCGGGUUGUAAAGCCCUUUUGUUGGGAAAGAAAAGCAGCAGGUUAAUACCCCGCUGUUCUGACGGUACCCAAAGAAUAAGCACCGGCUAACUUCGUG